GACGAACGCUGGCGGCGCGCUUAACACAUGCAAGUCGAACGGAAAGGCCUGCUUUCCCUUGUGGAUUGCGGGUACUCGAGUGGCGAACGGGUGAGUAACACGUGAGUGAUCUGCCCCCAACUUGGGUAUAAGCCUGGGAAACUGGGUCUAAUUCCCGAUAGGACUGCAGGGUGGUCCCUGUGGUGGAAAACGAUUUUCUAGUGGUUGGGGAUGAGCUCGCGGCCUAUCAGCUUGUUGGUGGGGUAAUGGCCUACCAAGGCGGCGACGGGUAGCCGGCCUGAGAGGGUGGACGGCCACAUUGGGACUGAGAUACGGCCCAGACUCCUACGGGAGGCAGCAGUGGGGAAUAUUGCACAAUGGGCGGAAGCCUGAUGCAGCGACGCCGCGUGGGGGAUGACGGCCUUCGGGUUGUAAACUCCUUUCGACCGCGAGGAAGCCACCUGGUUGGAAGGGUGGUGACGGUAGUGGUAGAAGAAGCACCGGCUAACUACGUG
RNAcentral lists this ribosomal RNA (494 nucleotides) under uncultured bacterium. RNAcentral describes it as "partial 16S ribosomal RNA". It matches the Rfam family "Bacterial small subunit ribosomal RNA", at positions 28 to 507 of the family's 1533-position model. The record is from RNAcentral.